Esox lucius (northern pike) is the source of this 684-nucleotide long non-coding RNA. RefSeq lists it as uncharacterized. NCBI's taxonomy places the organism in Eukaryota, Metazoa, Chordata, Actinopteri, Esociformes, Esocidae. The record is from RefSeq and is a predicted model, not a curated record. The transcript has 3 exons.
UGAAAAGACAGCAGCAGCUCAAUUUAAGAGAUUUCUUUCUCAUGGGGAAGAAAAGAAAGAAAGGGAAUAAGGGAGGCUGUCAUACCAAUAACACUGGUCAGAAAGGUAGCCAGAGCAUGGGAGAGAGAGAGGCCUCAAACCAACAGAUGCCCUCCUCCAUCUCCAACUGGACCCUGUAUUCUGAUCAGAUGUCUGUCCUGAGUGUCUCUACUCCACUGCUCCUGUCAUCUCUUCACCAUCAUGGUCCAUAUUAUACAUUUAGCCUGAACACAACAACCAUCUUCUCACUACUUAGGGUCUGUUUAGUGAUGUCAUCAGCUGCCUCAUUCCUCCACCCCAACAUGGACCAGUACCCAAGUCAAUCUAAUCUGAACCCCUCCACCCCAACAUGGACCAGUACCCAAGUCAAUCUAAUCUGAACCCCUCCACCCCAACAUGGACCAGUACCCAAGUCAAUCUAAUCUGAACCCCGUCUGUCCCACUCUGUCAUGUGUUUGUAUCACCUCAUAGAGGAUGUCUUUAUGAUGAGAUCUAAAUGACUGGAGACUCAUUACCUCACAUGAGUCGGCCCAAACAUUCCCUCUGUCCUGUUUUAAUUCCCUCCACCCACUUCAGCCCUACAGUACAUCCAUCAGCUCUGCUGUGUAAACAGCCAGGUGAUCCGUGACCCGUUUCCUGACCCGU